CCCACCAACACCUUCUUGAUUUUAGAUUCGAGGAACCAGUAAAUGGCAGUGGCCCUGACAGUGAGAGCAGUGCAUGUCCCUCUGAAAAAAAUCCUACCAAAAUCAACAAGAAAUAACAACCUCAACUACAGGAAGAAGAAGAUGAUGCCAAUCGUUUCUUCCUUCCCCAUCAGGAUGGAGCAGAACGUUAAUAACAGAAAGCUUCCUAUACUCCUUUUUGACAUCAUGGACACCAUUGUUCGCGACCCAUUUUACCAUGACGUUGCUCCUUUCUUCGGAAUGUCUUUCGAGGAAUUAAUAGAAUCCAAGCACCCAACUGCUUGGAUUGAAUUUGAAGAGGGGAGGGUUGAUGAGAUGGAGUUGGCAAGAAAAUUCUUCAAAGACAAAAGAUCUUUUGAUUUAGAAGGCCUCAAAAACUGUAUGAGGAGAGGAUAUUCCUAUAUAGAUGGUAUUGAAGAGCUGCUUUGCAAUUUAAAAGAAAAUAACUAUGAGAUGCAUGCUUUUACAAAUUAUCCUAUCUGGUACAGACUGAUUGAAGAGAAGCUAAAUAUCUCAACAUAUUUAUCUUGGACAUUUUGUUCUUGUAUGAUUGGAAAGAGGAAGCCUGAUCCUGAUUUCUAUCUGGAAGUCAUAAGACAUCUUAAAGUUGAUCCAACAAGCUGCAUUUUUAUUGAUGACAGGAGAAGUCACCAAGAAAUGUGAAAAUUACCAAAUGGCGUACCCCAUGGCUAAUUCCUGUGAAGGCUAGUAACCUUCUGUUGCUGGUUGAGAAAUGUAAAAGCUGCAAUUGAAAUUGGCAUUAAUGGCCUGCAAUUCAAGAAUGCAAAUUUGCUGCGUCAAGAUUUGUCUAAGAUGGGGAUUGAUAUAUCAACAGAUGACGGCUAAACCAUCAGUUGGAGCUUAAAGAAGAAAACACAUCUUGAUUUCUUGGUCCCCUCGUGAAGUUAAAAUUUUCUUCAAUUUUUUUUCAUCUACUUUUCUAAAAAAUUAUUUUCUCACAUCUUGAUUUCUUGGUCCUCUCAUAAAGUUAAAAUUUUCUUCAAUUCUUUUUCAUUUACUUUUUUUAAUUUUAUUUUCUGUGAUAUUUUGUUUCUGGAAAUUGAGAAUGUUUGAAGAGUUGAGAAUUUCUUCUCCCGGAUUGAAAAAAAAAAUGAAAAGGAAGGAAGGGAGAAAUGGAUUCAAUUUUAGUCAUAAAAUUUUGAAUGGUCAAGUAGUUAUUCUGGAAAAAAUGACAAGAAUAAAAGUAAAAUGUGAUCCUGCCGGAACAUCAAGAUAUCUAGGAACCAAAAUCAAAUCAUCUUAUGAGAGCGUAUGUGCAGGUCAACGGCUGGCUGUCCAGUACUUGUACGGUAAAAUUUUAUCUCUGAUUCUAUAUUUACCAUUCUCAUUUUAUGGGAUUCAUAUGAAACCUAGAAAAGCUAAAAUUUGAAGAGAUGAUAUUCCUGAAGCAAUUGGGAACGUGGCUGUGGCUGGCCGUGUGUUUCUAAGAAAAAACCUAGUCAAGCACUUUUGCUCCACGAGCACUUGGUGUCUGUAAUAAUUUUAUGUUUUAAAGUGUUAAGCAAGCAAAUGUACUGCAUAGGAGAGGACAGGACAUAAAUUUAGUAUUGGACAGAACAAAAGGUAUGGGAGUCUUUGUCCACUCUAAUGCACCGAAUAAACCUUAUUGUAUAUAGUGCUUGUUGGUGGUGGUUUCCCUUUUUUUAUUACCACAUCUCAUAACACCUUUUAAGCAGAGUGUAUGGAUGAACAAUUUCAGAUUUCUUCUCCUUUUACCCAUGCCUGAACGCUGGUGUCUUAACUGGACAUAAAAAUUGCAGGGACAAAAUUGUUAGAGAGCUUGUUCCUUUUACUGCAAGUGUAUUACUUAAGGCUUCCAAGAAUUCAGAUGAUGGCAAUGAUAUGGAAGUCUUAUUGAGUGGGGUAGCUCCUCUGAGUGAUGAGAUUUCAUGGCUCAAGCAAGAGGCAGCCAAGGGGAAUGUUCCUCUCUUUAAUGUUAUUGUCCACUAGUCAAACCAGAAUUAUUGCAGGUAUCAUGUCAUGUCAUGUCAUAUCAGCUUCACAUCUGCAAAUGUAAUGCUUGGAAACUCUUAUACGGUGAUUCAUUAUUGUUAAUGGUUUUUGUAUCCA
Molecule: RNA transcript, 2130 nt
Organism: Populus nigra (black poplar)
Lineage: Eukaryota; Viridiplantae; Streptophyta; Magnoliopsida; Malpighiales; Salicaceae
Gene name: flavin mononucleotide hydrolase 1, chloroplatic
Exons: 8
Source: RefSeq, a predicted model, not a curated record